GUCAUUGUAGCACUCAAAUUGACAUCUUUAACUCAGUUUUUGAAAUGAAGGGGAAAAAAAGGCAAACAACAUAGGCUAAAACACUGUGCUAAAUUUAAUAACCCAAGUUCAGGUGAACAAGACAUCUAGCAAAGUUAUGCAUCACUUCUUCUUCUCUCCACCUCCAGGGGCCCUACUCUUGCGAAGGGCAUUAGACAUCUCCUCCCGCUUCUUCUUUGCCCUCUUGUGAGUGCCAAGCUUUCUCUUUGCAACCUUCAGUGCCCUCUUGUCCUUGCCGACUUUAAGAAGCUCAGUGAUCCUUUUCUCAUAGGGUGCAAAGCCAGCAACUUCCCUAAUCACAGUCCUCACGAAGUGGACCCUUUUGCUUGUUUUCUGUAUGUCAACAAGGAAGAGAAGAAGAGACCACAUUAUAUCUGAGCAUUAUCUUGCACCAUUAGUAAAUUUGAAUUCUAAACUAACUAAUAAACCAAAAUAGAAGUUGACACAGCAAAGUAACCCCCCCUUCUUUGCCUGCUGUACCGUACAUCCGCCUUGGCCGUACAGCAGAAAAAACAAAAAAUUGCAUGCCUGCAAAAUAAUUUAUCUGAAAAACUAGAUCCAAAAAACAAAAACUGUGAACAAUAUCAAUUUGCAGCACAAAAUGAACUUACCCCUUUGCGAUCUGCUGGGCGUGGCGGCAGUUCCUUCUUCGUCACAAUAUGACCCUUGUUUAAUCCAACAAAGAGACCAGUAUUUGGCUGUUUCGGAGCCAUCACCUGCUUCAAUGCAUACAUCAAUUUAAAUAACCCCAACAUGAAAAGGGAAAGAAAAGGAACUUAUUCCAUGUAGUAUACAUAUUCAAACCAUACAAAAAAAAUCACAGAAAAUGGAUUUCAAAACUAUUGAAAAAUCUCCCAGUCCCAUCAUUAGGCAAAUCACAAGCAAAUGAAUACGCCAAAAUGAAAAUAAUAAUAAUAAUAACAAGGCCAUGAUGAAGAAUAAUUAGCUACAAAAACUUCCCCAAAAAAAAAAUAUAGUUACGAUAAAUUUACAGCACGGAAAAGCUGAUACGAACUAACAUGCUACUCAAGCAGCAGUUAACAAAGCUUACUUUAAAUCAAGGACAUAAUGAAGGAAAAUAAAGUGAAAAUCUUGAAUAGUAUAGUUUCCAUUCUCCAAAAAGAAUAAUAAUAAUAACUUUAUAUACAAUAUCUUAAAUUUAAUAUAUUUCUUGCUUCGGUAGUCUCUCGUAAGCCAAACAGAGGAAGUAAUAACAAGAGAGAAUGAUCAAGACAGAGUGAAGGAGAGGAAGUACCUCCGACGAAACUGAGUUGCUGCGGAAACCUAAGAUGAGUUGGAGUAAAUUUUAGGGUUUCAGGUUUGUCGCGCGUUUUAUAAAGUGGGAAAACGCACCGUAUGCUUGGUUCUGAAUUGGGCCGCGAUAAUGAGCCCAAUUAGUCGCAUCAUGAUGGUCCAGCUCAAUUUAUUUGUGACUAAAGCCAGUCGGCGUCCCUCGUACAUUAGCCCCUGGGUUGUGGGAUAUUUUCUUGACAAUUCGGCUGGGCACGGGUCAUCACAAAAAAUAAUAAUAAUAAUAAUAAUUAAUAAAUAAUUUAAGAAAAAUUUAAAAAUUAAAAAAAAAUAAUGAUAUAGCCACAAACUCUUGUACAAACUUAUUUUGUAUAAAUUGAUGUGGCAUGAUGAAAUUAGUUGAAUUAAAAAUCUCUUGACCCACAUGAUUUGUAUAUAUUAUUUUAUAUUUUUAUUCAACCAAUGAAUUAAUGCCACAUCAAUUUGUACAAGAUAAAUUUGUACAAGAGUUUGUGGUUGUAUCAUCACUCGUAAAAAAAUAUAUUUUAUUUUAAUUGAAAUACAUACAUAUUUUAAUAUUUAUUUAAUUCGCUCAUAACUUAUAUUUAAAUCUUAAAGUACUUUAAGCCCAAAUUUUAAAGUUUAAUCUAAUAAAAACAAAAUUUUAUAUACUAUAAAUUUGUAAAUAUAAUGAAAAAAAAAAUAUAAUUUACAGCUUAAGCUCUGCCGAAAAAAGCCCCAACUUCUGACCCGACAAAAGACAUGCUCAUGUUGUCGAGUUUUACCAAGCUUGGCAUGAACAUGACAUUUUACCAUCCCUAACUUGUGAUCACAUAAGACAUGAGUAGUAAUUUGAUUCAUGUCAUGAUAAAAUACAUAUCUAUUUGUCUUUGUUUUUUAAUAUUCUAAAAAUUUUGUAAUUGUAACUAAAAGAAUAGGAAAUUAAAUUUGCUAGUAUCGAUUUUUUUAAUAAAAGCAUAAAUAAAAACUAAAAUCACUAAACACCAAUAUAAGAACUAUUAAAUCCCAUAUAAUUACUAAUUAAAUUAAUUAACACCCACAUUAUUGUAGUAAUGUCAAACUUUGAGAUUAUUUACUAUGGAAACGAAUUUUUUAAAAAACUUGUUUUGCCAAAAUGAGAUAUUUAUUUGGAUUAUUAAUUAUUAUAUUAUCUUUGGAACUUGUUAGCAAUUUGAAAUGUUUAAAAGUUUUACAAAUUUUAAAGCUUCAAUUUUUUUUUCGGUUUUGCUACUGUGUAUCCGUUACACUGUACAUCGACCACAGCCACUAACUAAUAAUGAAAAGAUUAUUAAUAAUAGAUUAAUAACAAAGAAAAAAAUUACAAAUAACGGAACACACAGUGGAUGACAUGCAAUGAUGCAGCUUAUACAUUUUAGUCACACCCAUUUUUCAUGUAUCUUUAAAAUUAUUUUUCGAAUAGAACAAGUAAAGAUGAUUUAAUAUGACAAAAAGGUUAGCUUUACUGGUUAAUGAAAGUAUUUUGAAGAUUUAGGUUUUGGAUUUGAGGUGUUUGUAUCUCAUAUGGCAUGCGUUUGUAUUUAGUUAAUAAAACAAUUGUUUCUAAAGAAAGUAGUGAUAGAACUAUAAAUUAUUGUAUAAAUUUAUUUUAUAUAAAUUAAUAUGACAUGAUUAAAUUAACUAGAUUAAAUAUAUAUGGUCACAUCUAAUUUAUUUUUAUUAUUUUAUAUUUUUAUUCAAUCAGUAAAUUAAUACCACAUUAAUUUAUAUAAAUAACUUUAUACCAAAAUUUGUACCGCCGUUCAUCACUCAUCGACAAAUGUUUAGGCAACCCAUAAUGUUUUCUCAAUUUGAGCAAAAUAUUAAACCUAAAUAGGAAAAUUAAGGAACUUUUGUCCAAAGUCAGAACUUUUAACUGAACAAGAUAUUAAACGGUCUUAACUUUAUUUACAAAAGGAUAUGGUCUAAAUAAAGAGCACGUGCGUCGCGUGACUUCGGAAGGCGGGGACAAAACUAACAAAACCAGUUUCCCGGCCCCUUCAAGCAAAAAUACCACUAACAUUUAAAAUAAUUACACAAACACGCCACUGACUGUAAGAGCCAAUGAUGAUGUUUCACGUUCCCAUAUACACCUCAAAAUCGGCUUUGACUUGCAGGUGGCGCGAUAAAUCCCCCUUCAGAUUUAAAAGAUUCAAUCAUUAUUAUUAAACUAUUAGUUUCACUUUUACAACUCAGCAUUGAAAAUGAAAGUUCUCGUCUUCUUCAGUUGCUGAUCGAAAUUGGUACAAAAUGAAACUCCAUGGGGAUAACAUUUUGAAAGUUUUGUUUUUUCAUUAAUUAAUCUUGUAAUCGUGCUUUUAAACUUUUGUCCUUUUCUUUUUGAAGUUUAUUGAUCAAGAUUAAAUCUGGGACGGGAUUUUUUUCACUUGAAUUAGAUGAUCAGUGGCAAAAGUAAAGAUCUUUCAGUGUGUAGACAGAACCCUAAUGACACAGAUCCACUAUCUGGGUUUCCAUGAAUUUCAAUUUUGAGUUCCGGUGAGUGGUGCCUUGAUUCUUGUACAGAAAGUUUUAAAGUCAUACUAGUCAUUGUUGCCAUUAUUAUCGUUCCUACAAUUCGAUUAUGAUAUUCUCGGUUUCUGCUCCUCAACUCAUUGUUUUCAUCGUCUUUUGGUGCCUGUACUCAAGAGGAUUUUUUGUGGCCUGCGUCAACGGAUCACCAAAGAUCACCGAAGCCUGAAUUCGUGAUUUAUAGUUGAAUUUAUGCUAAGUGUGUGUAUUUGAAUUAUUGCAUAGAUGAGUGACCUAACUACCCGAUUGAAUUUGUGGAGUCGAAACCUUGUGCCAUAUUGAAAUAUCCUGUUAUUUCCCCUAGUUGCCAUGGCAUUUUAUGCAAAAUCGAUCUUCUGUUAUGUGUGCUAGCUUACUUAAAACUAUAGGCAUCUAUGUCUAUCUUAUGUGGCAUCCCUCUACUUGAAUGUGUGUAUUGCUUGGCAUGUGCCCGUUGGGCAUGGAAGCGAUGCCUCCACACGGCAGGCCAUGACAGUGAGACUUGGGGGCUGGCAACUGCUGAAGAAUUUGAACCUGUCCCUCGCAUGUGCCGCUACAUCCUUGCUGUCUAUGAAGAUGAUCUUAGAAAUCCACUUUGGGCACCUCCCGGAGGAUAUGGAAUUAACCCGGAUUGGUUAUUGCUUAGAAAAACUUAUGAAGAUACUGGAGGAAGGGCUCCUCCCUAUAUAUUGUACCUUGAUCAUGACCAUGCCGAUAUAGUCCUUGCCAUAAGGGGCCUUAAUUUGGCAAAGGAGAGUGAUUAUCAACUGCUUUUGGACAAUAAGCUAGGAAAAAAGAAAUUUGAUGGAGGGUAUGUCCAUAAUGGGCUAUUGAAGGCUGCUGGGCGGGUUUUGGAUGAAGAAUGUGAGGUUUUGAAGCAUCAGGUGGAGAAGUAUCCAAAUUACACAUUGACUUUUGCCGGACAUUCCUUAGGGUCAGGUGUGGCGGCAAUGUUGGCAUUGGUGGUGGUGCAAAAUCGGGAUCAAUUGGCCAACAUUGACAGAAAGAGGGUCAGAUGCUAUGCAAUUGCGCCUGCCAGGUGUAUGUCGCUGAAUUUGGCAGUCAGAUAUGCAGAUGUAAUCAACUCAGUCGUGCUUCAGGUAGUUCUAGUCUUUUACCUGUUUGGUGUCCUCUUUUGGUAAAAGAAUUUUGGAAUAUUAAUGUAGCACUCUAUGAAGCCUUAAUAGCUUCUACAUUUAUUUUUAUUACUAUUUCUGUCUUAUCAUCGUAUGAUUAAAUGUUAGAGUUUUCAGGAAAUUUGAUAAGUGCACCAUUGUAUUUUUUUAUGUUUGCUGGUGUUGUCAACGGUUUAAGUUUUACUUGAGAGGAGGGAACUACAUAAUUCUUUUUCCAUCAUCAGUCAUCGCAGAGCUUAAUUCUUGUUCAAAGCUUAGAAUGUAUUUCUUUGAUGAAAAUGCUGCAACUUAGAUAUAUUGUAUUAUAGUUCAGGGUAAGAUAAUUUGUAUGGAUGAUAUAGUAAGUUUUCAAUGAUUACUGCAAAUACCAAUUCUCUUUACUCUGAAAUUCUUUAUAUAAUUACUUGUACCUACAGCAGGAUCCAAGCAUCAAUAUGUUUUUGGACUUAGUAAUUAAUGUUAACAUUUGAUCAGUUUCUUGUCUGGAGAGGAUUUAUUCUCAUAUAGGAAGCUUGCAUGUGAUUAUUGCAGGAUUUACCAUGAACACUUUUUGGAGGGAAUUGAAUUAUGAGAUGAAAUUGAUUUUGUCCUAAGACACGUUAGCAUGCAUGCAUUUCUUACAAAAUGUUGCACUAACUGAUCCACUGAAUUCAUGAGCAUGACUAGAUUGCUAACUAAAUCAGUUUCUGCUUCAUGAAGAAAUGCUAUUUCCCUUCAUACGAUGUAAUGGAUAAAGUUUCAUGUGCUAAUUUUCAGCAAUACGUUUUGAAAGACAGUGUAAACAUGUGGAAUACAUGGAAAUCACAUAUGACUCAGAACCUUCAGUCUAUACCUCUACGACAUGGAUAAAUAUGUCAAAGUAUGACAUAGUAACUAAAUAAACAAAAUAAUUUUUUUAUGGGUAAGACUGAGAAACAAGCUUGCCACGCAUAUGUGGUAUGCAUGAGAUUAAGCAUAGUAUGUCUGACUUGUGCAUUGCCACUAGUGCUUAAGCAGAAUAGCAUAAAUAGCAUUAGAAAAUGAAAAUGUUUUACUCUGAUUUCUCUUCCACUAUAUUCUGUAUAAUUUUUUGUGAUUAUUCCAUUGAACCAGGAUGACUUCUUGCCCCGGACAGCCACACCAUUGGAAGACAUUUUCAAAUCACUUUUCUGGUAUAGUCACGCAUCAUUCUUUUUCGUCUAUAUUUCUAAUACUUUGACAACUAAUAGGCUUUUGAAAUGGAUACUGUGUCACCGUGAAAGGCCGACAAUGUUUCACUUUCUUUUUAUAAUAUUUUUCUUGAAGGAAAACUGUCUUUGAAAUUUAAAGUCUCGGUAUAGACUAAAUUGGGAUGGACCAUUGCAAUAUGUUUGGCUUAUUGAUCAGAGAUCUUGUACUUGUUUAGCAAGGGACUUCUUUGAUAUGUGAGGACAUAUAUAUGUAGCUAAUGAGUUCUCAGUUUUUUUUUAGCACGUGAAAUUUUAGCUAUUGUGGCAUCUGUGCAACAUACUGAUUAAAGUUUUUCUUUUUGAGCAGCUUGCCUUGUAUACUAUGCUUAAGGUGUAUGAGGGAUACAUGUAUACCUGAACAGAAGAUGAUCAGAGAUCCAAGGAGACUAUAUGCACCUGGUCGGUUGUAUCACAUUGUUGAGAGAAAGCCUUUAAGGUACUACUCAGACAGAACAUAAGCAGUUGUCCCCAAUCCCCUUGACCAACUGGUAAUUUUGGGCUGCAGGCUGCAGCUUGCUUUUGAAGUUUGCAUUAUUAGGGAUGUAUCUUAAUUCCCCUCCUCAUCCCCCCCCCCCCCCCCCNNNNNNNNNNNNNNNNNNNNNNNNNNNNNNNNNNNNNNNNNNNNNNNNNNNNNNNNNNNNNNNNNNNNNNNNNNNNNNNNNNNNNNNNNNNNNNNNNNNNNNNNNNNNNNNNNNNNNNNNNNNNNNNNNNNNNNNNNNNNNNNNNNNNNNNNNNNNNNNNNNNNNNNNNNNNNNNNNNNNNNNNNNNNNNNNNNNNNNNNNNNNNNNNNNNNNNNNNNNNNNNNNNNNNNNNNNNNNNNNNNNNNNNNNNNNNNNNNNNNNNNNNNNNNNNNNNNNNNNNNNNNNNNNNNNNNNNNNNNNNNNNNNNNNNNNNNNNNNNNNNNNNNNNNNNNNNNNNNNNNNNNNNNNNNNNNNNNNNNNNNNNNNNNNNNNNNNNNNNNNNNNNNNNNNNNNNNNNNNNNNNNNNNNNNNNNNNNNNNNNNNNNNNNNNNNNNNNNNNNNNNNNNNNNNNNNNNNNNNNNNNNNNNNNNNNNNNNNNNNNNNNNNNNNNNNNNNNNNNNNNNNNNNNNNNNNNNNNNNNNNNNNNNNNNNNNNNNNNNNNNNNNNNNNNNNNNNNNNNNNNNNNNNNNNNNNNNNAAAAGGAGGGGCAGUACAUCAUGAUUGCUAUUAAAUAUAGUAAGUUAGCAGUAUAAUCAUGUCUUAUGUGUCCGUGAAUGAACUUUUUAUUUCCUUUUCAAAUUUAUUGUCUAUUGACCGGCAUUUAUAGGAUUUGCCACAUUGCGUACACAAUGAUUAAUCUUAUAUAUUGAGUGGAUAGCUUUGUUGAUUCUGAGGCAGCAGAAAAAGUUGCAUUUGAACAAGGAUGAAUGAUUUAAUCUGAUUUAAUAUUAUUUUGGUUGCAGAUUGGGAAGAUUUCCCCCAGUUGUGAGGACAGCUGUGCCGGUAGACGGGAGGUUUGAACAUAUAGUUCUUUCUUGUAAUGCCACUGCUGAUCACGCCAUCAUUUGGAUAGAGAAAGAAGCCCAGAGAGCAUUCAAUGUGAGUUUUUCAAUUUCAUUAUCUUUAUAGGGUUGGGAAAAUGGCUGAAGCCUACUUUUGAUGCUAGAUUAUGCCUUUGUUUUAUCUGGUUGGCUUUAAAAAAGCUUUCCAGGGUUCAAUAUGUUGAAAGAUAGGGGAUCGGAAUCUGGCACUUCUGGUAUGCAGUGUAUGCAUUUGUAAUAAGAUUGCUCUGAUUUUCCUUUCAGCUAAUGCAAGAGAAAGAUCACACGAUGGAGAUACCUGAGAAGCAAAAGAUGGAGAGGCAGGAGACUAUAGCCAGAGAACACACACAGGAGUACAAUGCUGCGCUACACAAGGCUGUUUCACUGUCGGUGCCGCAUGCUUUUGCACCUUCUCCUUAUGGUACUUUCACUGAAGAGAGAGGUAAUAGCUCACAUGAGGGAGAAUCAUCGUCGCUUUUAUCAUCUAAGAAACAAGCGAGAGAAAGCUGGAAUGAUUUGAUUGAGCGUCUGUUUGAGAAUGAUGAAUCCAGUCACAUUGUAUUUAAGAAAUCACAUAGCACAUAGGGAUGAUCGAUGCCAUUAUUUUGGGCAUACAUUGGUAAAGACAAGAAAUAUAUACCCUGUAAACAACAUAGAUUCAUUCAUCUGUACUUCAAAACAACAUAGGUUCAUUCAUCUGUACUUCAAUCUCAUUAAUUUGCUGAGUACUUGGAAACCAAAGAUGAACCAAUAUAAACGAAAGUGCUGAAGUCAUUCAAACCCCGGUGCCUGUGAGGACAAUCAGUAAAUGGAAGGAACUUGUUUGAAGAAAUAUAAAUAUGACAUUAACAUCAACCUUUUGCCCUCAAAUUUGCUGUUGAUAUAUGAACAGAAAGAGGAAGUCGCUAGUGAGAAGAGAUCAUACCGUGUCCUCAAUGUUUAUCCAAUAAAAUGAAAUCUUAAAAUAUGUAUCACAGUAAAGGGGAAACCUGUGGUGUAACUGUGUUAUCGUGCUACAGUUGCAUCCAGCUGUUGGAUGUCGGUGGAUCCCACCAAUCUAAGUGCAUCCAACAGCUGGAUACAAUUAUAGUACGGUACUACAGUUGCACUGUAGCUUAAUUCCACAGUCAACCAUUUUUCACACCCACACACGCUGAGAUAAUGUUCAAGUAUCCUGUAUACAUUAGUGAGAAAUUUUUGUUAUGUAUAUUAAAAACAACCUCAUCUUAUACGAACGUCAAUAUUUUUUUUUGGAAUUCAGCAUGCAUAUAAAGGUGAUGAGGUCCGAGUAUUGUAAUACCAAAACAGAUUUAAUACAAACUAAUUUAUCAAUAUUAUUAUUUCCUUCUUAUUUUCACUCUGUUUCGGUAAUUAAUAUGUGCAAUUUACCCCCCAAAAAAAGGAGGGGUGGGAAAAAGAAAGCGAAAGUGAAAAAUCAUAAAGAAACGAAUCGAUAUCACUUCACAUUCAUCAUCAUCACAGAGAUAUAGAACAGACAACUCUUGAAUCGGUUAGCCUGUUCUGUUGGCUUCGAUCUUCAAUCGCCUUCUCACAGAAUUAUAAAUGCAUGGCUUCGAUUCGAUUUGUAUUUCUUGUUUUAGCUUUCACAUCUUCCUUCGUUUCUUCUUCUUCUUCUUCAGACAGGUAUAAGAAACGUAACCACCGAUCUCAUUUUUAAUAUUUGAGAAUUCAUUUCAAGAAAUGGGUAGUUCAUAUAUCAUCUGCUUACAUUAUUUUUCGUGUUUUGUUAUUAAUAGUCUUUCUUUGCAAUGAUUUUGUUUCAGUGGCCGGAAGGAAUUGAGGAAUAAAAAGGGAAACUGGGAAAGUGUCGUACAAUUGCCUCACUCAAUUAAUUCUAAAAGAGUUGAUCCAUCACGAGUUACUCAGAUCUCGUGGCGACCAAGGUCAGGUACUUACUAUAAUUCUAUUGGCAGUAAAGAAUUUCGUAUUCCUGUAAAACAGUAUCUUUAUUAGCAUUGUAUCAAAUUCUGCAUAAACUACUCACAAGUUUUAGUUGUAGUAUGCCCCCAACAUUAAUUGUGUGUUUACUAGCUUGUUUACAUAAAAUCUGAUGUCACGUUUCUUGGAAUAGGGUCUUUUUAUAUCGCGGCCUUCUGUCAAAUGAAGAGUGUGACCACCUUAUUUCACUGGUAUAAUACUGCGGUCCCUUUACAUUGAGCACGUGAAUUGACAUUACACCUGGAUUUGUUUUAGAGUGUUUAUUUUGUGCGUAGGGCCAUGGUGCAGAAAAAAAGUAUAAGCGCACGGGUGAGGAUCCUGAGAAUGUUUCAAAGAACAAGCAGAAUUCUAGUUUCAGAACUGAAUUAAACAUAGAAGUGAGUUUUCCAGUAUCUCUAUAUAAUUAACUUCUAUGUGUUCUGUGCAUAAGGUAUUGACAAAACAUUUUGAAGUAGGUGGCAUCACUGCAUGCCUUUUGAUAAUGUUUUCUUUUUCUCAACUCAAGGCAAUUCAGAUAUGUAUCUUUGGUGUGUGUUGGUUUGUGUGGGUGUGUGAGUAUAUAACAAGUCACCAACAAUAAAAGAUUUCAUAGAGGAAGUGUUCAUGCCAUGAUCUAGUUGUAGAAGGCUUAAUCUUGUUGGUACCUUUACUUGAACUCCAUACUUUUUAAUGAACUUCUGGAAGGGCCUAAAUAUUCUGUCACAUGCUUCCCUAGAACUUACUUCCAAUCUUUGGGCAUUCUAGGAUGAUAUUGUUGCAAGGAUAGAAGAAAAAAUUUUAACAUGGACUUUUCUUCCGAAAGGUAUCUUCCUGAGUCCUGAUCCUCGUCUUCUAAAAUGCUAGUUUUUAUAGAGAUUUUACCUUCUAAUUUCAUGGGUUGUAUACUUGAUGUUCGUUGUCCUUCAGAGAACAGUAAACCUGUACAUGUAAUGCGAUAUGGGCUUGACGAGGCCAAAGAGAACUUAGAUUAUUUUGGUAAUAAAUCUGCACUAGGUUUAAGUCAGCCUCUGAUGGCAACAGUGGUUUUGUAUCUCUCAAAUGUCACUCAAGGUGGUGAGCUGCUCUUCCCUAAUUCAGAGGUGAGAGAAACUUGCUUUAUCUUCUUGUAUUAUCAUAAUGAAUGUAGGGUUCAAAUAAACCUUUGCUCAACUGAUGUUAGUUCAAAUUGGUCAGGAAAAGGAUAAGAUGUGGUCUGAUUGUGCAAAAACAAGCAAUGUCCUAAGACCUGUCAAAGGCAAUGCAAUUUUGUUUUUUACUGUACACCCCAAUGCUGCUCCUGAUGAGAGUAGCUCUCAUACCAGAUGCCCAGUCCUUGAGGGGGAAAUGUGGUCUGCUGUCAAAUUCUUCCAAGUAAAAGCAGCCAAUGCAGAAGAAGUUUUAAUUGGUUCCGAUAGCAAUGAAUGCACUGAUGAAGAUGAUAAUUGCCCUCAUUGGGCAGCCGUUGGGGAAUGUCAAAGGAAUCCCGUCUACAUGCUUGGUUCUCCUGAUUACUAUGGUACCUGCAGGAAGAGUUGUCAUGCUUGUUGAUUAUUAUUAUUCAUGUAUUCCAUUCCAGUUAUUGUUUUCAAUAAUUAGGUAAAAUUUUUUAGUUUGAUUAGUAAAUGAUCUGCUUCAGCCUACUGAGAUCUUUUUUGCUUGUGAUGUUGCUGAUAAUAUAGAUUGCAGCAGUAACUGAGAUGAUGGAUGUUGAUGGAUACAUGUUGUAUAUUUUACUGGGUGUAAAUUUGAAUAAAGAAUGCAGGAACAGGAAUCCUACAAUGUUAUGUGAUGAUUGGAGAGAAUGAAUAAAUUUUGGUAAUGAUGAUAUGGAUUCACAACAUUUUUGGCUUUGCCCAAUAUCAUUCAUAGACAUCUUUAUAAUCGCAAGUUUGAACUUAAUUUGGUAGGGAGCUGUACCCAGAAGUAGAAACUCCAAAAAUUGGAGUGUGCUUCUAAAACUAGUGAGCACACGGUAUUUUUUAGCAAAAGGCGAAAGACUAAUCACUGUGCUCACCACGAGGCUCCAGUAAUCAGCAGCUUACCGCAUUGGUGCGAUCGAGAUCGAUGUGGGACUGUCAGCUUUAAUCUGCAAAUAGUCUGUCCUACCCUUCUGAUCGUUUUAUGCACACAUUAAAUAGCAAGGAUCACGAUUCUCCAAAAAUACCAAUGAACUCGCCAAGGCAACUAACUCACUAUCUUCAAUUUUAUAUUAAGAAUUGAUGUUCACUCAGACUCACAUGAAACAGUGCAAGUGUAACUAGAAACAAUUUUUCGACUAAGAAUUGUGUAGGUCUUUACCCCGGAGAGAGCCCUUCCAGAAAUUCUCAAAGGCCAGGGCCAAACCCCAGGCCUAAGGGGGGAUUUGGAAAUACUUUUCAACCAGCAAUAGACGCGCCUUGGAUAGAACCUCAAUAGCUGCGUCGAUGCCCCAAGCGCAAAGAUGGUUGCAACGACUCGGUUGGCUCCCUUUUAUAAAAUGCCACUAAGAUUCAACAAAUAUCCGUACUCGAUGUGGGAUUUCUGGGCCUCGCAUACGGUGCCUCAUUGAACAUAACUAGUAUCUGACCAGUAAUUUAAGUGCACUUGUUGAGUCUGAACUCUGAACCAAUCAACUUAUCAAAAUCUAAUCCAAUUCGAUGUUCAUUAAUAAAGCCAGUAAGACUGUUGGUUUUAAACUGGGUGAAGAAGAGAUGACCAAAUCGGGUCUUUCAGCAAAAUUCCAAGCGCAUUCGAAUCAAAUUGUUUUGUAAGCAUGCAAAGAUAAUCCUCCUAAUAACUGAGCAACUGGGCAUUUUGCCAACCCAAUUGGAGAAUAGAACUUUUAUAUAAAGACUUGGUGGGGUGCGCCAGGCCCGCGCAGUAGUGCAACACAUGGGCGACGCUUAGGGUUCACAGUAGCAAGCUACUGUAUCGAACUCCCCCCUCAAAAAAUUAAUUUAAUAUCGUGUGGAUCGAUGAUCCACAUAUCAGAUAUUAAACUGAUAAGAACAGAUACUACACUUGAUCUUAGCCAAAAGGCCGAGAAAGGUAUGCUUUUGGUCGUGUUAUAGCUCUGCUUUUAAACCCGUGCCAGGCAUAUUUUAUUUCUUUUGAUCACUCGAUGUGGGACUCAGGCAACUAAAAAUGAGCUAAUGGAUUUAGGGUUCACGCAACAAUAACCAUCUAAUUGAGAUAAGUUUUCCAACCCAAUGAAGAUGGUGUUGUAUUCAAAUUUGACAUCACGGGUCUACGCCAAAUUGUUUGUAUCAGUAUUAUUUGGCUUCCGCUUCAGUUUUGGCUAAGAACAUAACUGCAGAACUAUUUCCAAUUUUCCAUAUAUAUCCAAUUCUAUCCUGAAUGAAACAUUUUAACUCUGAACAAGGGUCUCACCAUUUUUUAUUCCACCAGCAAUAUUUGCCGACGAUGCUGGGAUCACCUCCAGCUACAUCGGUGGAAUCUUUUUCAGUUUGCUACAUACAACUGCUUUCUCAAUCUACACAGCUUUGGCAACUCCUUUGACACAUUCAUGUCGAUCAGUUUGCUUUCUUUUAUUUCUUUCUUCCCAAAUUACACACAAGUAGCUAAAACCGCACAGUUACCAAAAGAGUUCUGGCAUCUUUGCCUCACAGGAGCCAAAAUAUUCUCCUUAAGCAGUGAAGCAACCCACAAAAUCCUGGUUGCUCUGGUUGCUUUCUUUGAACAACAUCUGCCGUAUUAACCUUGCCAAGAACCAAAGCCCAGGGAAAGACUUCGGCUUUCCAUAUCACUUUAAACUCUUUGAAUUCAUCCCGAGAACUCUUUUCAGCCAAAACUCUGCCCUCGUCUCAUCAAUGUUUACACGAUCUAACAUCCUCAUAAGACUUUAAAUUCCUUCAAAACUCUGAAUUCUAGUUUCAACUCACACUUUAUGGGGAAGGAACUGAUCUGGAAAAGAUGGAGACAUUCUUAUUGGUGUAAAUCUUCCCGGACUUUUAUUUGCUGUUCAUUUUUUCUUUCUAGUUUCAUUCUAUGAUCUAACAUAGUUUAUAUACCAAUACAUAAAUUUCCCAAUAAAUUCUAAAAGCUGAUAAAUCAACAAAAGGAACAUUCACAUCCAAACUGGUAACAAAACGAGAAACAUAAUCAAAUUUACAUAAAGUUUCUACCACUUUUAUUUCACUCAGUAAAUAAACAAAAAAUUAGUAACCAAAAUUAAACCCUUAUCAAUCAAAUGCCGGUACAAAAUUCAUGUAACACAAAGUAAAAAACUUCUCACGUAUAUGUGGGAUAUAAAGCAAGUGUGCAAAUAGGUAUCAUCCAGAAUUUACUUAAAGAAGGAAAAAAAAUUUCCCAUAGAUCAGAUUCACACACCAGAAUUGAACUGCUGUUUAGAUUCCAAAGAAGAGCUAGGUUUUUUCAAAGAACAAGAAGACUUGAAAGCCUCAAUCUGUGAUUGGCAUUUCACGUAGUCUCCUUUGUUUUCUUCCAAGCAUUUCUUCAGAGCCUCGACAUCGCACGGUGACAUAAUCUUCUUCGCACCGUUACUCUCUGCCGUCUCCUCCAUCGAUUCCAAUACCAAAAGUCAAAACCACCUUGUUUGAUUCCUGAUAAAUCCGAAGAGAAAGCCCAGGUUCAGCGACUUAAAAUACUUUUUGGUUAUUAUCUUAUUCCUCCCUCUUUUUUAAGAAAGUAACAUGUUAGUCCACAGAUUUAACACUUGUUUAAAAUUAAUUAUCCCUUACCAAACCCAUAUUUUCUAACAAUAGCCUGAAAUUUUGAAGAAUAAAAUUUGAUCACAAAUAUGCCUUCUCUAUUUCUUCAAACAGCAGUUUUCUCUAAUAUAAGAAAAAGAAGAAGAAAAUAUUUUAAAACCAAAUGUUUGCCAAAUUUUAUAUUAACCCGCUGUAUCUCUUUUAUUAAUUAUUAUCUUUAUUAUAUUCAACUUUUCC
RNAcentral lists this long non-coding RNA (14506 nucleotides) under Citrus sinensis (sweet orange). RNAcentral describes it as "long non-coding RNA (CSIN_LNC003998)". The record is from RNAcentral. Lineage: Eukaryota; Viridiplantae; Streptophyta; Magnoliopsida; Sapindales; Rutaceae.